GAUUAACGCUGGCGGCAUGCCUAAUACAUGCAAGUCGAUCGGAUGUAGCAAUACAUUAGAGGCGAACGGGUGAGUAACACGUAUCCAAUCUGCCUUAUAGUGGGGGAUAACUAGUCGAAAGAUUAGCUAAUACCGCAUAACAAGUUAACUAUCGCAUGAGAAUAACUUUAAAGAAGCAACUGCUUCGCUAUAAGAUGAGGGUGCGGCAUAUCAGCUAGUUGGUGAGGGUAAUGGCCCACCAAGGCGAUGACGUGUUAUGCUGAGAGGUAGAAUAACCACAAUGGGACUGAGACACGGCCCAUACUCCUACGGGAGGCAGCAGUAGGGAAUUUUUCACAAUGGACGAAAGUCUGAUGGAGCAAUGCCGCGUGAACGAUGAAGGUCUUUUUAGAUUGUAAAGUUCUUAAAUUUGGGAAGAACAGUUAGUAGAGUGGAAAGCUAUUAAUUUGACUGUACCAUUUGAAUAAGUAACGACUAACUAUGUGCCAGCAGUCGCGGUAAUACAUAGGUUGCAAGCGUUAUCCGGAUUUAUUGGGCGUAAAACAAGCGCAGGCGGAUUAGAAAGUCUGGUGUUAAAAGCAAUUGCUUAACGAUUGUAUGCAUUGGAAACUUCUAGUCUAGAGUUUGGUAGAGAGUCCUGGAACUCCAUGUGGAGCGGUGAAAUGCGUAGAUAUAUGGAAGAACACCAGAGGCGAAGGCGAGGACUUGGGCCAAUACUGACGCUUAGGCUUGAAAGUGUGGGGAGCAAAUAGGAUUAGAUACCCUAGUAGUCCACACUGUAAACGAUGGAUGUUAAGUGUCGGAGCGAAUACUUCGGUGCUGCAGUUAACACAUUAAACAUCCUGCCUGAGUAGUACAUUCGCAAGAAUGAAACUCAAACGGAAUUGACGGGGACCCGCACAAGUGGUGGAGCAUGUUGCUUAAUUCGACGGUACACGAAAAACCUUACCUAGACUUGACAUCUUGGGCGAAGCUAUAGAAAUAUAGUGGAGGUCAACCCAAUGACAGGUGGUGCAUGGUUGUCGUCAGCUCGUGUCGUGAGAUGUUGGGUU
This 1052-nucleotide ribosomal RNA is filed under the name Mycoplasmoides gallisepticum. RNAcentral's name for it is "bacterial SSU rRNA". It matches the Rfam family "Bacterial small subunit ribosomal RNA", at positions 28 to 1081 of the family's 1533-position model. The record is from RNAcentral. Lineage: Bacteria; Bacillati; Mycoplasmatota; Mycoplasmoidales; Mycoplasmoidaceae.